AUGGAAGGGGCAUGCAGAGGAGCAGGAGAUUCAGUUGGAAGCCGGAAUCACUUCCCCUCUUUGUCUCCUGUGCUUGCCUCUUCCAUU
RNAcentral lists this microRNA precursor (87 nucleotides) under Leersia perrieri. Its description in RNAcentral is "MIR528 microRNA precursor family". It matches the Rfam family "MIR528 microRNA precursor family". Lineage: Eukaryota; Viridiplantae; Streptophyta; Magnoliopsida; Poales; Poaceae. The record is from Rfam by way of RNAcentral.